This 253-nucleotide ribosomal RNA is filed under the name uncultured bacterium. RNAcentral describes it as "partial 16S ribosomal RNA". It matches the Rfam family "Bacterial small subunit ribosomal RNA", at positions 524 to 776 of the family's 1533-position model. The record is from RNAcentral.
UACGGAGGGUGCAAGCGUUAAUCGGAAUUACUGGGCGUAAAGCGCACGCAGGCGGUUUGUUAAGUCAGAUGUGAAAUCCCCGGGCUCAACCUGGGAACUGCAUCUGAUACUGGCAAGCUUGAGUCUCGUAGAGGGGGGUAGAAUUCCAGGUGUAGCGGUGAAAUGCGUAGAGAUCUGGAGGAAUACCGGUGGCGAAGGCGGCCCCCUGGACGAAGACUGACUCUCUGCUUCUACAUCGUGGGGAUCCUACAGG